AGUACAUGUUGCGCAGUGAGUUUUCAAAAAUAAGUUCUCACAUUAUUUAUUGCUUGGUUGUUUAUCAUUUGCUAUUUUGGGAAGAACACAAGUUCUCUAUAGAAAAUAAAAUAUUUCACUUGAUUGUUUUUUUUUGUUCUCUCAGGACACAUUCUGUAUCAUGUACGUUCACUUCAUGGGUGUCGAUAAUAAUGAGCAGAAGCCUCCAAGAGUGUUGGUAAAUCCCAGCAGGGGCCAGCCAAGGUGUUGUAACAAGAAUGAGCGCCAAAAUCACGUAAGUCCUUAAAUUGUGCCUUAAGGUUUCAAGUCUUAUAUAGUGACCAGAAAGUUUUCUUUCAUUAGUAUACAUUGUUAAAAGACUUUGAUUAAUAUACAGUGUACAGAGGCUUUCAUUUGCAUGUAGUUUUAAAAGGCUUUAAUUUGUACACAGUGUAUAACAACUUUCAUUUGUAUGGCAUGUCAAAAGACUUCAGUUCUUACAGUGUCCAAAGCUUCCAUUUAAAUAGUAUCUACAGGCUUUAAUUUUACUAGUCAGUCAGAAAAUCCAAAAGAUUUUGUUCUCAUACAGUAUGCAAAAGCUUUGAUUUACAUACACCUCCCUAUAAAUAGAGCUUAAUGAUAUGGCAAUCGGCGAUCCCUGGCGACCAAUUUUGGCAAAUUGGCCCAAGAUGCUACUGCUGGCCCACCAGUAACCAUGACACCAGCACCAUGCCAGAUGCGGUGAUGAGGCUCGUCUUAUGGCUCGCUGCGCUUGAAA
Long non-coding RNA from Syngnathus typhle (broad-nosed pipefish), 757 nucleotides. RefSeq lists it as uncharacterized. NCBI's taxonomy places the organism in Eukaryota, Metazoa, Chordata, Actinopteri, Syngnathiformes, Syngnathidae. The transcript is spliced from 2 exons. The record is from RefSeq and is a predicted model, not a curated record.